AAGUAGGGGAUCGUAAGACCUUGCGCUUAUGGAGCGGCCGAUGCCUGAUUAGCUAGUUGGUGGGGUAAUGGCUUACCAAGGCUACGAUCAGUAGUUGGUCUGAGAGGACGACCAGCCACACUGGGACUGAGACACGGCCCAGACUCCUACGGGAGGCAGCAGUGGGGAAUUUUGGACAAUGGGCGAAAGCCUGAUCCAGCAAUGCCGCGUGAGUGAAGAAGGCCUUCGGGUUGUAAAGCUCUUUCAGUCGAGAAGAAAAGGUUGUGACUAAUAAUCACAAUUUAUGACGGUAUCGACAGAAGAAGCACCGGCUAACUACGUGCCAGCAGCCGCGGUAAUACGUAGGGUGCAAGCGUUAAUCGGAAUUACUGGGCGUAAAGGGUGCGCAGGCGGCUUUGUAAGUCAGAUGUGAAAUCCCCGGGCUUAACCUGGGAAUUGCGUUUGAAACUACAAAGCUAGAGU
This 462-nucleotide ribosomal RNA is filed under the name uncultured ammonia-oxidizing beta proteobacterium. RNAcentral describes it as "bacterial SSU rRNA". It matches the Rfam family "Bacterial small subunit ribosomal RNA", at positions 202 to 647 of the family's 1533-position model. Lineage: Bacteria; Pseudomonadati; Pseudomonadota; Betaproteobacteria. The record is from RNAcentral.